This 29-nucleotide non-coding RNA is filed under the name Mus musculus (house mouse). The record is from RNAcentral. Lineage: Eukaryota; Metazoa; Chordata; Mammalia; Rodentia; Muridae.
UCAACAUUCAGGGUGGUUUACACGGGGCU